This 486-nucleotide ribosomal RNA is filed under the name uncultured bacterium. RNAcentral describes it as "partial 16S ribosomal RNA". It matches the Rfam family "Bacterial small subunit ribosomal RNA", at positions 28 to 507 of the family's 1533-position model. The record is from RNAcentral.
GACGAACGCUGGCGGCGUGCUUAACACAUGCAAGUCGAACGCUGAAGACCUGGCUUUUGUUGGGUUGGAUGAGUGGCGAACGGGUGAGUAACACGUGAGUAACCUGCCCUCUUCUUUGGGAUAACGCCCGGAAACGGGUGCUAAUACUGGAUAUUCACUGGCCUUCGCAUGGGGGUUGGUGGAAAGGUUUGUUCUGGUGGGGGAUGGGCUCGCGGCCUAUCAGCUUGUUGGUGGGGUGAUGGCCUACCAAGGCUUUGACGGGUAGCCGGCCUGGGAGGGUGACCGGUCACAUUGGGACUGAGAUACGGCCCAGACUCCUACGGGAGGCAGCAGUGGGGAAUAUUGCACAAUGGGCGAAAGCCUGAUGCAGCGACGCCGCGUGAGGGAUGGAGGCCUUCGGGUUGUAAACCUCUUUCGCUCAUGGUCAAGCCGCAACUGUGGGUUGUGGUGAGGGUAGUGGGUAAAGAAGCGCCGGCUAACUACGUG